RNAcentral lists this ribosomal RNA (1421 nucleotides) under uncultured bacterium. Its description in RNAcentral is "16S ribosomal RNA". It matches the Rfam family "Bacterial small subunit ribosomal RNA". The record is from RNAcentral.
UGGCUCAGGAUGAACGCUAGCGACAGGCCUAACACAUGCAGGUCGAGGGGCAUCGGGGCGAGGAGCAAUCCUUGCCGCCGGCGACCGGCGCACGGGUGAGUAACGCGUAUGCGACCUGCCCGUUGCAGGGGGAUAAUCGGGAGAAAUCCCGUCUAAUACCGCGUAAUGCCGCGGGGCUGCAUGGCCCUGCGGCCAAAGGAAGCGAUUCCGGCAACGGAUGGGCAUGCGUGACAUUAGCUAGUUGGCGGGGCAACGGCCCACCAAGGCGACGAUGUCUAGGGGUUCUGAGAGGAAGGUCCCCCACACUGGUACUGAAACACGGACCAGACUCCUAUGGGAGGCAGCAGUGAGGAAUAUUGGUCAAUGGGCGCGAGCCUGAACCAGCCAAGUCGCGUGAGGGAUGACGGCCCUACGGGUUGUAAACCUCUUUUGUCGGGGAGCAAAUUCCGCCACGUGUGGCGGAGUCGAGAGUACCCGAAGAAAAAGCAUCGGCUAACUCCGUGCCAGCAGCCGCGGUAAUACGGAGGAUGCGAGCGUUAUCCGGAUUUAUUGGGUUUAAAGGGUGCGUAGGCGGACUGUCAAGUCAGCGGUAAAAUACGGGGGCUCAACCUCCGCCCGCCGUUGAAACUGACGGUCUUGAGUGGGCGAGAAGUAUGCGGAAUGCGUGGUGUAGCGGUGAAAUGCAUAGAUAUCACGCAGAACUCCGAUUGCGAAGGCAGCAUACCGGCGCCCAACUCACGCUGAAGCACGAAAGCGUGGGUAUCGAACAGGAUUAGAUACCCUGGUAGUCCACGCAGUAAACGAUGAAUACUAGCUGUCCGGGGCGAAUGAGCCCUGGGUGCACAGCGAAAGCGUUAAGUAUUCCACCUGGGGAGUACGCCGGCAACGGUGAAACUCAAAGGAAUUGACGGGGGCCCGCACAAGCGGAGGAACAUGUGGUUUAAUUCGAUGAUACGCGAGGAACCUUACCCGGGCUCAAACGACACAGGAACGUAUCUGAAAGGGUUCGGCUCUACGGAGCCUGUGUCGAGGUGCUGCAUGGUUGUCGUCAGCUCGUGCCGUGAGGUGUCGGCUUAAGUGCCAUAACGAGCGCAACCCCCAUCGACAGUUGCUAACAGGUCAGGCUGAGGACUCUGUCGAGACUGCCGGCGCAAGCUGCGAGGAAGGCGGGGAUGACGUCAAAUCAGCACGGCCCUUACGUCCGGGGCGACACACGUGUUACAAUGGCAGGUACAGCGGGAAGCCACCUGGCGACAGGGAGCGGAACCCGAAAGCCUGUCUCAGUUCGGAUUGGAGUCUGCAACCCGACUCCAUGAAGCUGGAUCCGCUAGUAAUCGCGCAUCAGCCACGGCGCGGUGAAUACGUUCCCGGGCCUUGUACACACCGCCCGUCAAGCCAUGGAAGCCGGGAGUGCCUGAAGU